Non-coding RNA from Cyprinodon variegatus (sheepshead minnow), 376 nucleotides. NCBI's taxonomy places the organism in Eukaryota, Metazoa, Chordata, Actinopteri, Cyprinodontiformes, Cyprinodontidae. The record is from the annotation of a RefSeq genome assembly.
AUGAAGACGUCUGGUAAUACCCGUCCCACUGUGACAGUGCUGCCCCCCUCCAGUGAGGAUCUGCACCAGGGGAAGGCCACCCUCGUGUGUCUGGCCAACAAGGGCUUCCCCUCAGACUGGAGUCUGUCCUGGAAGGUGGAGGGCAGCAUUAACACCUUCACCUGGGAGGAGGAAAAGAGCCAAGUAGUGCAGCAGAAGGACGGUCUCUACAGCUGGAGCAGCACCCUGAGGCUCCCUGCACACCAGUGGAGAAAGGUGGGCUCUGUGACCUGUGAGGCCACCCAGGGCUCCCAGACUGCAGUCACAGAGACACUGAGGAGAGACCAGUGUUCCCAGUACUGAGAUAGAAUGGUUCUUUUUGUUCUGAAACUGUUAU